AUUGAACGCUGGCGGCAGGCCUAACACAUGCCAGUCGAGCGGAUGAAGGGAGCUUGCUCCUGGAUUCAGCGGCGGACGGGUGAGUAAUGCCUAUGAAUCUGCCUGGUAGUGGGGGAUAACGUCCGGAAACGGGCGCUAAUACCGCAUACGUCCUGAGGGAGAAAGUGGGGGAUCUUCGGACCUCACGCUAUCAGAUGAGCCUAGGUCGGAUUAGCUAGUUGGUGGGGUAAAGGCCUACCAAGGCGACGAUCCGUAACUGGUCUGAGAGGAUGAUCAGGCACACUGGAACUGAGACACGGUACAGACUCCUACGGGAGGCAGCAGUGGGGAAUAUUGGACGAAGGGCGAAAGACUGAUCCAGCCAUGCCGCGUGUGUGAAGAAGGUCUUCGGAUUGUAAAGCACUUUAAGUGGGGAGGAAGGGCAGUAAGUUAAUACCUGGCUGUUUUGACGUUACCAACAGAAUAAGCACCGGCUAACUUCGUG
This 484-nucleotide ribosomal RNA is filed under the name uncultured bacterium. RNAcentral describes it as "partial 16S ribosomal RNA". It matches the Rfam family "Bacterial small subunit ribosomal RNA", at positions 30 to 507 of the family's 1533-position model. The record is from RNAcentral.